CAAUAGCGUAUAUUAAAGUUGUUGCAGUUAAAACGCUCGUAGUCGGAUUUCGGGGCCUGCCUGCCGGUCUGCCGAUGGGUAUGCACUGGCAGGCGCGUCCUUCCUUCCGGAGACUGUCCCUACUCUUAACUGAGCGGGGUCGGGAGACGGAUCGUUUACUUUGAAAAAAUCAGAGUGUUUCAAGCAGGCAGCUCGCUCUUGCAUGGAUUAGCAUGGGAUAAUGAAAUAGGACUUUGGUGCUAUUUUGUUGGUUUCGAACACCGAAGUAAUGAUUAACAGGGACAGUCAGGGGCACUCGUAUUCCGCCGAGAGAGGUGAAAUUCUCAGACCAGCGGAAGACGAACCACUGCGAAAGCAUUUGCCAGGGAUGUUUUCACUG
This 379-nucleotide ribosomal RNA is filed under the name uncultured eukaryote. RNAcentral's name for it is "partial 18S ribosomal RNA". It matches the Rfam family "Eukaryotic small subunit ribosomal RNA", at positions 592 to 975 of the family's 1831-position model. The record is from RNAcentral.